GUGAGGAAUAUUGGUCAAUGGUCGCAAGACUGAACCAGCCAUGCCGCGUGCAGGAAGACGGUCCUAUGGAUUGUAAACUGCUUUUAUACAGGAAGAAACCCUCCCACGUGUGGGAGCUUGACGGUACUGUAGGAAUAAGGAUCGGCUAACUCCGUGCCAGCAGCCGCGGUAAUACGGAGGAUCCAAGCGUUAUCCGGAAUCAUUGGGUUUAAAGGGUCCGUAGGCGGUCUUAUAAGUCAGUGGUGAAAGCCCAUCGCUCAACGAUGGAACUGCCAUUGAUACUGUAGGACUUGAAUGCUUAGGAAGUAACUAGAAUAUGUAGUGUAGCGGUGAAAUGCUUAGAUAUUACAUGGAAUACCAAUUGCGAAGGCAGGUUACUACUAAGUGAUUGACGCUGAUGGACGAAAGCGUGGGGAGCGAACAGGAUUAGAAACCCCUGUAGUCC
Molecule: ribosomal RNA, 445 nt
Filed under: uncultured bacterium
Lineage: Bacteria
Description: bacterial SSU rRNA
Rfam family: Bacterial small subunit ribosomal RNA
Source: RNAcentral